AUGGCCUUCUCCGCUUCCGGCUCUGCCUCCCGGCUGCGACGUGCGCCUACCGUCUCCCCGUGUCGGCCCACCGCGCCGCCUUCCGUCCCGGCCUCGUGCGCAACCCAGCCUCCGCAGCCGGCCUCCCCUACGGCGAUCGCUGCGCUCCAUAUUCCAGCCGCCUGCUGCGGACGGGUUCCUGAUGAGAAGAAAGAAAAAAGUCAAGGCCGAGUGCAAAGAAAAAAAGAGAGAGAGAAAGAAAAGAAAAAGAAGAGGUUGUUUGCCUGGUGGCCGGCUGGAAAAAGUGGGCCGGCUGCUGCAGAAAAAAAAAUGUGUGUGUGCAUCCGGCUGCCCAAAGCCGGGUGA
RNAcentral lists this ribosomal RNA (345 nucleotides) under Triticum aestivum (bread wheat). RNAcentral describes it as "partial small subunit ribosomal RNA". Lineage: Eukaryota; Viridiplantae; Streptophyta; Magnoliopsida; Poales; Poaceae. The record is from RNAcentral.